Microtus ochrogaster (prairie vole) is the source of this 738-nucleotide long non-coding RNA. RefSeq lists it as uncharacterized. Lineage: Eukaryota; Metazoa; Chordata; Mammalia; Rodentia; Cricetidae. The transcript is spliced from 3 exons. The record is from RefSeq and is a predicted model, not a curated record.
ACCACCGCUUGCCUAGAUUCUUUGCAGAGUCUGAGGAAAUUUGGCCUGGUUUUCCUAGGACUAGGGAAUGAGCUCCGGAGGUCAAUAAAGCCCUCCAAAAAUGAUGAAUGAUUGAGCACCUGUGAUGAUGAUAGUGAUUACCAGAGCAAUUAAACAGUUUGAUUAAAUGAGCCAUCAUAACAAUGAUGUCUGCGGGAAAUCGGCCUUCUCAUAUAAAGACACUGUGGAGGGGCUGGCAGAGGCGCGGAGAGCGCGCCGGGAGAGGGGCCGCGGCCCGCGCGGGGUUGACUCCAGUGGCCAAAGCAGGGACGGGACGGCGGGCUCUGGGAGCAGACUCAAGCCCAGGCUUUCCGACUUGGUUCCUCCCUGGCUUCAAGCCUAAAACACCCGAUUCUUCUGAAACCUGAAGGACCACAGGGUCCUUUCCCUUCCCCCUCCCCCUGUUUUUUUCUCCCUAGAAGAACUCCAAGAUUACAAACAUCCACUUCAUUUGACGCUCUUACUCGUCGACACAUAAGAAAAGGUCUGUUUGGAUAUUCAAAGAAGCUACACCUACAAAGACGGUUUGGCUCCGUGCCGUCAAUCCCAGCAUUAAAAAAGUGUUACUUGAAGAAAGUCAUCGGCCUUCUCGAGAUACUUCCAGGUUUGCUGUAAUGAUCUGCAGAAGAGAACCGCCACCACUUUCUCACAUCCCAAGGUGUUGGCGGAACUGGAGCGAGGGGAGAGUGACUGCCAGGC